Molecule: long non-coding RNA, 313 nt
Filed under: Pelobates cultripes (western spadefoot toad)
Lineage: Eukaryota; Metazoa; Chordata; Amphibia; Anura; Pelobatidae
Source: RNAcentral
UAAAGGGUAAUCCAGACGUGGACCCCUUGCUCACGGUGCCUAGAGAGAUAUUAGCUAUGCCUCACUGACGAUGCCUAACAAGGCUGAAACGAUCGUCUGGGGUUGCUGUAUCUCUCGUGCAGAGAGAACUUGCUGGCAUUUCGGAUCUGGACUGCCCGUAUGGGUGGGACCAGUCUGAUAUGCUUCAGAUAUGUUCUCUCUGUAAUGGCACAAGUUGAGCUAAAACCAGCUUGAGUUCUGAGCGGGGACCCACCAAAGGGCAGGCUAUUUUAGCUGCUGUCCGUCCUCAGAAUACUCUUGCGACCCAUUUUUU